CGCGAGACUUUGCGAGACGCCUCCGUGUGCCAAAACUAGGCUGCGGGCACAGCCACGCCCAAUAAACGGGUGGGCUAUAGCCUUGGGGGGUGGGGCUGGCCAAGUUCGUCCGCCGGACUCGGAAUGGCGCGAGACUUUGCGAGGCGCCUCCGUGUACCGAAAAUAGGCCGCGGGCACAGCCGCACCCAAAAAUAACCGCCCGAAGCCCGGGGCGCCAAGUUCGUCCAGCGGAAAAAGACCACAAAAACGUGUGGGCUAUAUCCUUCGGCGGUGGAGCUGGCCCACUUCGUCCGCCGGACUCGGAAUGGCGCGAGACUUUGCGAGGCACCUGCGUGUGCUAAAAAUAGGCCACGGGCACAGCCGAGCCCAAAAAUAACUGCCCGAAGGCCGGGGAGACAAGUUCGUCCAGCGGAAAAAGGCCACACAAACGGGUGGGUUAUAGCCUUCGAGGGUGCGGCUGGCCAACUUCGUCCGCCGCACUCGGAAUGGCGCGAGAAUUUGCAAGGUGCCUCCGUGUGCCAAAAAUAGUCCGCGGGCACAGCCGCGCCCAAAAAUAACCGCCCGAAGGCCGGGGCGCCAAGUUCGUCCAGCGGAAAAUGGCCACAAAAACGGGUGGGCUAUAGCCUUGGGGGGUGGGGCUGGCCGACUUCGUCCGCCGGACUCGGAAUGGCACGGGACUUUGUGAGGCGGUUCCGUGUGCCAAAAAUAGCCUGCGGGCACAGCCGAGCACAAAAAUAACCGCCCGAAGGCCGGGCCGCCAAGUUCGUCCAGCGGAAAAAGGCCACAAAAACGGGUGGGCUAUAACCUUGGGGGGUGGGGCUGGCCCACUUCGUCCGCCGGACUCAGAAUGGCGCGAGACUUUGCGAGACGCCUCCGUGUGCCAAAACUAGGCUGCGGGCACAGCCACGCCCAAUAAACGGGUGGGCUAUAGCCUUGGGGGGUGGGGCUGGCCAAGUUCGUCCGCCGGACUCGGAAUGGCGCGAGACUUUGCGAGGCGCCUCCGUGUACCGAAAAUAGGCCGCGGGCACAGCCGCACCCAAAAAUAACCGCCCGAAGCCCGGGGCGCCAAGUUCGUCCAGCGGAAAAAGACCACAAAAACGUGUGGGCUAUAUCCUUCGGCGGUGGAGCUGGCCCACUUCGUCCGCCGGACUCGGAAUGGCGCGAGACUUUGCGAGGCACCUGCGUGUGCUAAAAAUAGGCCACGGGCACAGCCGAGCCCAAAAAUAACUGCCCGAAGGCCGGGGAGACAAGUUCGUCCAGCGGAAAAAGGCCACACAAACGGGUGGGUUAUAGCCUUCGAGGGUGCGGCUGGCCAACUUCGUCCGCCGCACUCGGAAUGGCGCGAGAAUUUGCAAGGUGCCUCCGUGUGCCAAAAAUAGUCCGCGGGCACAGCCGCGCCCAAAAAUAACCGCCCGAAGGCCGGGGCGCCAAGUUCGUCCAGCGGAAAAUGGCCACAAAAACGGGUGGGCUAUAGCCUUGGGGGGUGGGGCUGGCCGACUUCGUCCGCCGGACUCGGAAUGGCACGGGACUUUGUGAGGCGGUUCCGUGUGCCAAAAAUAGCCUGCGGGCACAGCCGUACCCAAAAAUAACCGCCCGAAGGCCGGGGCGCCAAGUUCGUCCAGAGGAAAAAGGCCACAAAAACGGGUCAGCUAUAGCCUUGGGGGGUGGGGCU
RNAcentral lists this long non-coding RNA (1672 nucleotides) under Citrus x clementina. RNAcentral describes it as "Citrus clementina (C. clementina) long non-coding RNA (CCLE_LNC006063)". Lineage: Eukaryota; Viridiplantae; Streptophyta; Magnoliopsida; Sapindales; Rutaceae. The record is from RNAcentral.